This 561-nucleotide ribosomal RNA is filed under the name Ranzania laevis (slender sunfish). RNAcentral describes it as "partial 16S ribosomal RNA". It matches the Rfam family "Bacterial large subunit ribosomal RNA", at positions 1851 to 2610 of the family's 2925-position model. Lineage: Eukaryota; Metazoa; Chordata; Actinopteri; Tetraodontiformes; Molidae. The record is from RNAcentral.
GGUCCCGCCUGCCCUGUGACUAUAAGUUUAACGGCCGCGGUAUUUUGACCGUGCGAAGGUAGCGCAAUCACUUGUCUUUUAAAUGGAGACCUGUAUGAAUGGCACGACGAGGGCUUAACUGUCUCCUUUUUCUAGUCAAUGAAACUGAUCUCCCCGUGCAGAAGCGGGGAUAACCCCAUAAGACGAGAAGACCCUAUGGAGCUUUAGACACUAAAGUAGAUCAUGUUAAACACCCCAAAUUUAAAGGACUAAACCAAAUGAGCCCUACCCUAAUGUCUUUGGUUGGGGCGACCGCGGGGAAAUAAAAAACCCCCAUGUGGACUGAGAGCACCCCUCUUACAUCCUAGAGUUACCACUCUAAUAAACAGAAAUUCUGACCUAUAUGAUCCGGCAAUGCCGAUCAACGGACCGAGUUACCCUAGGGAUAACAGCGCAAUCCUCUUUUAGAGCCCAUAUCGACAAGAGGGUUUACGACCUCGAUGUUGGAUCAGGACAUCCUAAUGGUGCAGCCGCUAUUAAGGGUUCGUUUGUUCAACGAUUAAAGUCCUACGUGAUCUGAGU